This 200-nucleotide ribosomal RNA is filed under the name Hoya vitellinoides. Its description in RNAcentral is "5.8S ribosomal RNA". The stretch from base 35 to 190 matches the Rfam family "5.8S ribosomal RNA". Rfam says of the family: 5.8S ribosomal RNA (5.8S rRNA) is a component of the large subunit of the eukaryotic ribosome. It is transcribed by RNA polymerase I as part of the 45S precursor that also contains 18S and 28S rRNA. Lineage: Eukaryota; Viridiplantae; Streptophyta; Magnoliopsida; Gentianales; Apocynaceae. The record is from RNAcentral.
GGGCUUGAGAGGCCCUCCGAACGAAACAUUACACGACUCUCGGCAACGGAUAUCUAGGCUCUCGCAUCGAUGAAGAACGUAGCAAACUGCGAUACUUGGUGUGAAUUGCAGAAUCCCGUGAACCAUCGAGUCUUUGAACGCAAGUUGCGCCCGAAGCCAUUAGGCCGAGGGCACGUCUGCCUGGGCGUCACGCAUCGCGU